Molecule: unclassified non-coding RNA, 284 nt
Filed under: uncultured fungus
Lineage: Eukaryota; Fungi
Description: sequence contains ITS1
Source: RNAcentral
GUAUAAGUUUUUAAAGGACUGAGUCCAAUAAACAAGACAUUCUAAACAUACUUGAGAUGAUAUAAGACAUAGACCUGGAAAACAAAGGGAGCUACGAAGUAGCAACCCUUCAAAAUCCGCCUUGGGUAAGGCGAGAGGUAUCCAGAUCUACAAAAGGUGCACAGGUGGACAAAGAAGAGCCUUGCACUCAAGCGUGCACAUACUUCCGAAGAAGCCAGCAACAGACAAGAGUACAAAGUGUUCAAAGUUCAAUAAUGAUCCUUCCGCAGGUUCACCUACGGAAA